This 1212-nucleotide long non-coding RNA is filed under the name Strigops habroptila (Kakapo). RNAcentral describes it as "lncRNA (ENSSHBG00005006511.1)". Lineage: Eukaryota; Metazoa; Chordata; Aves; Psittaciformes; Psittacidae. The record is from RNAcentral.
GAACCUGACCAUUUAUUUUGGGCAGAAAUACCGUAUUGCUUUGUAGUAUCUGAUAUGCUGGCUGGGUAGCACCCAACUGCUUAAUGCAGCCUCACACCAGAACACCAGCUGCUUCUUCCGCUCAGGAGCUAAAGCGUCCGAUUCAGAGAUUCAGACGUGUUUUUCCCAAUGACCCACGAAGCCCUGCAGCCGCGCUCACACCGCAGUCUGCUGCGAAGGCCACGCCUGGUCCCCCACCGAUGUUCGGCGGCUGCUAGCACGCAGAAAAGCAUCGCCCGGCAGCCAGCCCUCCUCCGCGCUGUCUGCAUCGGCAAUAACUUCCACGCCUGUGAAUGCAAAGUGGGAGCGGAAGGCCGGAGCCAGGCGAAAGGCGCUCAUGGCUGCCCUCGCCGCCGGGCCGGGUCACCUCUGGAGGCCCCACCGGCCCCCGCGGACACGAAAUGGCGCCUCGGCCCCGUGAGGCCUCCAGGCACCGGCCCCUCCGCGGCGCCGUCCACCGGCGGGGCAAGGCGAGCGGGCACGGCCCCGACGCCACCGCCACCGGGCCGGGCAGCGGAGCCUCGGCCCCCGCCCUGCCCCGGUAAGCCCACGGGAGCGCUGCGCAACACCGCCGCCCCGUGGCCGCUGCCGCCCGGCCGCCCUCCGCGGCCUCCUCGGCGGGGUAGGAGCCGCUGGCGCCUUCCCUCCCCACAGCCCCUUUUUUGCCGUUUUAUGCCCCCCAGUCGAAGGGGAACGCUGUCUGUCCUCCGGUUGGCGGAGGCGGUGGGAGCUCACAGGUGGUCUGAGGAAAGGAGGAGGGGGACAAGAGGACAGUGUAAAGGAGAGCAAGGAAGAGCAGAAAACUCGGAAUCCGGCAGUGACAUAGGGCACAGCAACGCCUUGUGCGUACCAGCCCAGCAGAAGCAGGGAUGUUGUCUUGCCACAUGAUUUGGCUGAGUGCAUCACCAGCAAGCUCCUUCGUAGGCUCUUUCCAAGAACUGGAGGCAAGGGGAAUCCACAACAUCGCAUUCAGUGUAAAUGGAAGGCACUGUUUUCUUUACAAGAAGUAAUCGACCUUUUUUUUUCCAGGUAAUCCUUUGUGUUUACAGUCUGUGGUGGAUGAUGCAUCAGCGGGCUGGUGGCAUCCUCAAUGACCUCUGAAAGCAGCAGAGUCUCAGAAACGGCAAAUGGGAAGAAAUUAUGAAGCUUUACCAAGAGACGGUGGAGUUCAGC